CCUACGGGAGGCUGCAGUGGGGAAUAUUGCACAAUGGGCGCAAGCCUGAUGCAGCGACGCCGCGUGAGGGAUGGAGGCCUUCGGGUUGUGAACCUCUUUCGCCAGUGAAGCAGGCCUGUCCCUUUUGUGGGUGGGUUGACGGUAGCUGGAUAAGAAGCGCCGGCUAACUACGUGCCAGCAGCCGCGGUAAUACGUAGGGCGCGAGCGUUGUCCGGAAUUAUUGGGCGUAAAGAGCUCGUAGGCGGCUGGUCGCGUCUGUCGUGAAAUCCUCUGGCUUAACUGGGGGCUUGCGGUGGGUACGGGCCGGCUUGAGUGCGGUAGGGGAGACUGGAACUCCUGGUGUAGCGGUGGAAUGCGCAGAUAUCAGGAAGAACACCGGUGGCGAAGGCGGGUCUCUGGGCCGUUACUGACGCUGAGGAGCGAAAGCGUGGGGAGCGAACAGGAUUAGAUACCCUAGUAGUC
Molecule: ribosomal RNA, 462 nt
Filed under: uncultured Actinomyces sp.
Lineage: Bacteria; Bacillati; Actinomycetota; Actinomycetes; Actinomycetales; Actinomycetaceae
Description: bacterial SSU rRNA
Rfam family: Bacterial small subunit ribosomal RNA
Source: RNAcentral